This 491-nucleotide ribosomal RNA is filed under the name uncultured bacterium. Its description in RNAcentral is "partial 16S ribosomal RNA". It matches the Rfam family "Bacterial small subunit ribosomal RNA", at positions 29 to 507 of the family's 1533-position model. The record is from RNAcentral.
AGUGAACGCUGGCGGUAGGCCUAACACAUGCAAGUCGAACGGCAGCACAGUAAGAGCUUGCUCUUACGGGUGGCGAAUGGCGGACGGGUGAGGAAUACAUCGGAAUCUACUUUUUCGUGGGGGAUAACGUAGGGAAACUUACGCUAAUACCGCAUACGACCUACGGGUGAAAGCAGGGGAUCUUCGGACCUUGCGCGAUUGAAUGAGCCGAUGUCGGAUUAGCUAGUUGGCGGGGUAAAGGCCCACCAAGGCGACGAUCCGUAGCUGGUCUGAGAGGAUGAUCAGCCACACUGGAACUGAGACACGGUCCAGACUCCUACGGGAGGCAGCAGUGGGGAAUAUUGGACAAUGGGCGCAAGCCUGAUCCAGCCAUACCGCGUGGGUGAAGAAGGCCUUCGGGUUGUAAAGCCCUUUGUUGGGAAAGAAAAGCAGCAGGUUAAUACCCCGCUGUUCUGACGGUACCCAAAGAAUAAGCACCGGCUAACUUCGUG